CUGGAACAUGUCAACAUAGUAAUCAACAUAUAUUUUCUCUCAACUUUAACCCAAAAUGCAUCUAAUUUCUUUUAACACAAAUCUACCCCAAAGAUCCACACUUGUGUCACGCCGAUCACGUCCAGCGGCACUCUUCCUGGUCCUAUCAGAGAUCACAUCUUUUGGACUGGCUGGAGGAAUGACCACCAAGGAGACUGUGUGGAGAACACUAACACAACUCCUGACAAAUGCCAUGAACUGGAGAGGGGCCAAUGGGAAGGAGGCAUUCGAACCACUUGCCCUGGUGGCACUGUUUUUGUCACAAGGUGCCAACAUCAAUGCUCAGAUAGAGGAGACAGUAAUCAGUGAUGGUCUAACAUGUGUUGAGUCAUACUGCUUUUUUUAAUAACUUUGCAUGGGUGAGUUGGAUUAAUGGAUGGUCCAUUGUGUGUCUACAACGGUCUCCACUCUGACAGGAAAAGACAUGCACUGCUGUGAAGGAUCCUGCCUGACUCAAAUGCUUCAAAUGGCACAGUUACUGGCACAGGCUGUCUGUUUGACAGGCAUUUAUCAAAAGGAAACCACCAGAACACUAUCCCUAAAAACAGUGAAUAAAGUGAUUGUUUGAUUGAACCCGUUUUAUCAUA
Molecule: long non-coding RNA, 626 nt
Organism: Oncorhynchus tshawytscha (Chinook salmon)
Lineage: Eukaryota; Metazoa; Chordata; Actinopteri; Salmoniformes; Salmonidae
Source: Ensembl